Molecule: ribosomal RNA, 274 nt
Filed under: uncultured bacterium
Lineage: Bacteria
Description: partial 16S ribosomal RNA
Rfam family: Bacterial small subunit ribosomal RNA
Source: RNAcentral
AUACGUAGGGUGCGAGCGUUAAUCGGAAUUACUGGGCGUAAAGCGUGCGCAGGUGGUUUUGUAAGUCAGAUGUGAAAUCCCCGGGCUUAACCUGGGAACUGCGUUUGAAACUGCAAGGCUAGAGUGUGGCAGAGGGGGGUGGAAUUCCGCGUGUAGCAGUGAAAUGCGUAGAGAUGUGGAGGAACACCGGUGGCGAAGGCAGCCCCCUGGGUCAACACUGACGCUCAGGCACGAAAGCAUGGGGAGCAAACAGGAGUAGAAACCCCAGUAGUCC